UGAAUUUUCAAGCAUCAAAUCCGUCAAAGGUAUUCAUUGUAUGUGUUGACGGGCAGCUGCAUACAAUUCUAACACGUCAGUCAUUCUCGUAGAUCCAUAGUCGGCAGCGAAGAGGGCAGCAGGUGAUACAACUUACUUGCAGACACUUUGAUUCUGAGUUCUGGUGAUUUUCAGAGAUAGGCUAGCAUAAUCAGAAAAGGCGGCCAUGUUGCCAAGAUGUCAGCAGCUAUUGAGGAUCACUGCUUGUUUAAGUGAUAGAGAACAUAUCAAGAUGCUUAGGAACUUGAAAUAGUGGAGGUUCCUAUCCAGCACUGGGAACUCUCACUGCCUGGCAGUGUGCGUGUGUGUGUGUGUCUGCAGCGGUGGGUUGUGACUCAGAACUAGCACCACUUCUGGGAGUCAGUCAAUGACAGCCUCCAGGGCUGGCUGGGAGUCUUACUUUGAUGGUACAGGCCAUCCUCACAGUCACCUUUUAAAUUCAGGA
Nanorana parkeri is the source of this 484-nucleotide long non-coding RNA. RefSeq lists it as uncharacterized. The record is from RefSeq and is a predicted model, not a curated record. The transcript is spliced from 2 exons. NCBI's taxonomy places the organism in Eukaryota, Metazoa, Chordata, Amphibia, Anura, Dicroglossidae.